This 465-nucleotide ribosomal RNA is filed under the name uncultured bacterium. Its description in RNAcentral is "partial 16S ribosomal RNA". It matches the Rfam family "Bacterial small subunit ribosomal RNA", at positions 28 to 507 of the family's 1533-position model. The record is from RNAcentral.
GACGAACGCUGGCGGCGUGCUUAACACAUGCAAGUCGAACGGAAAGGCCCUGCUUGCAGGGUACUCGAGUGGCGAACGGGUGAGUAACACGUGGGUGAUCUGCCCUGCACUUCGGGAUAAGCCUGGGAAACUGGGUCUAAUACCGGCUAGGAGCCAUUUUUAGUGUGAUGGUUGGAAAGUUUUUUCGGUGUAGGAUGAGCUCGCGGCCUAUCAGCUUGUUGGUGGGGUAAUGGCCUACCAAGGCGGCGACGGGUAGCCGGCCUGAGAGGGUGGACGGCCACAUUGGGACUGAGAGACGGCCCAGACUCCUACGGGAGGCAGCAGUGGGGAAUAUUGCACAAUGGGCGCAAGCCUGAUGCAGCGACGCCGCGUGGGGGAUGACGGCCUUCGGGUUGUAAACUCCUUUCGCUAGGGACGAAGCUUUUUGUGACGGUACCUAGACAAGAAGCACCGGCUAACUACGUG